CAGCACCUCAAGUGGUCAGGAUGAUUAUUGGGCCUAAAGCAUCCGUAGCCUGCUUUGUAAGUUUUCGGUUAAAUCUGUACGCUUAACGUACAGGCUGCCGGGAAUACUGCAGAGCUAGGGAGUGGGAGAGGUAGACGGUACUCGGUAGGAAGGGGUAAAAUCCUUUGAUCUAUUGAUGACCACCUGUGGCGAAGGCGGUCUACCAGAACACGUCCGACGGUGAGGGAUGAAAGCUGGGGGAGCAAACCGGAUUAGAUACCCGAGUAGUCC
RNAcentral lists this ribosomal RNA (270 nucleotides) under uncultured archaeon. Its description in RNAcentral is "partial 16S ribosomal RNA". It matches the Rfam family "Archaeal small subunit ribosomal RNA", at positions 477 to 747 of the family's 1478-position model. The record is from RNAcentral.